Molecule: ribosomal RNA, 1365 nt
Filed under: Escherichia coli
Lineage: Bacteria; Pseudomonadati; Pseudomonadota; Gammaproteobacteria; Enterobacterales; Enterobacteriaceae
Also listed under: 1 other name
Description: partial 23S ribosomal RNA
Rfam family: Bacterial large subunit ribosomal RNA
Source: RNAcentral
GAAUGCUGACAUAAGUAACGAUAAAGCGGGUGAAAAGCCCGCUCGCCGGAAGACCAAGGGUUCCUGUCCAACGUUAAUCGGGGCAGGGUGAGUCGACCCCUAAGGCGAGGCCGAAAGGCGUAGUCGAUGGGAAACAGGUUAAUAUUCCUGUACUUGGUGUUACUGCGAAGGGGGGACGGAGAAGGCUAUGUUGGCCGGGCGACGGUUGUCCCGGUUUAAGCGUGUAGGCUGAUUUUCCAGGCAAAUCCGGAGAAUCAAGGCUGAGGCGUGAUGACGAGGCACUACGGUGCUGAAGCAACAAAUGCCCUGCUUCCAGGAAAAGCCUCUAAGCAUCAGGUAACAUCAAAUCGUACCCCAAACCGACACAGGUGGUCAGGUAGAGAAUACCAAGGCGCUUGAGAGAACUCGGGUGAAGGAACUAGGCAAAAUGGUGCCGUAACUUCGGGAGAAGGCACGCUGAUAUGUAGGUGAAGCGACUUGCUCGUGGAGCUGAAAUCAGUCGAAGAUACCAGCUGGCUGCAACUGUUUAUUAAAAACACAGCACUGUGCAAACACGAAAGUGGACGUAUACGGUGUGACGCCUGCCCGGUGCCGGAAGGUUAAUUGAUGGGGUCAGCCGCAAGGCGAAGCUCUUGAUCGAAGCCCCGGUAAACGGCGGCCGUAACUAUAACGGUCCUAAGGUAGCGAAAUUCCUUGUCGGGUAAGUUCCGACCUGCACGAAUGGCGUAAUGAUGGCCAGGCUGUCUCCACCCGAGACUCAGUGAAAUUGAACUCGCUGUGAAGAUGCAGUGUACCCGCGGCAAGACGGAAAGACCCCGUGAACCUUUACUAUAGCUUGACACUGAACAUUGAGCCUUGAUGUGUAGGAUAGGUGGGAGGCUUUGAAGUGUGGACGCCAGUCUGCAUGGAGCCGACCUUGAAAUACCACCCUUUAAUGUUUGAUGUUCUAACGUGGACCCGUGAUCCGGGUUGCGGACAGUGUCUGGUGGGUAGUUUGACUGGGGCGGUCUCCUCCUAAAGAGUAACGGAGGAGCACGAAGGUUGGCUAAUCCUGGUCGGACAUCAGGAGGUUAGUGCAAUGGCAUAAGCCAGCUUGACUGCGAGCGUGACGGCGCGAGCAGGUGCGAAAGCAGGUCAUAGUGAUCCGGUGGUUCUGAAUGGAAGGGCCAUCGCUCAACGGAUAAAAGGUACUCCGGGGAUAACAGGCUGAUACCGCCCAAGAGUUCAUAUCGACGGCGGUGUUUGGCACCUCGAUGUCGGCUCAUCACAUCCUGGGGCUGAAGUAGGUCCCAAGGGUAUGGCUGUUCGCCAUUUAAAGUGGUACGCGAGCUGGGUUUAGAACGUCGUGAGACAGUUCGGUCCCUA